UAAAGCGACUAAGCGUACACGGUGGAUGCCCUGGCAGUCAGAGGCGAUGAAGGACGUGCUAAUCUGCGAUAAGCGUCGGUAAGGUGAUAUGAACCGUUAUAACCGGCGAUUUCCGAAUGGGGAAACCCAGUGUGAUUCGUCACACUAUCAUUAACUGAAUCCAUAGGUUAAUGAGGCGAACCGGGGGAACUGAAACAUCUAAGUACCCCGAGGAAAAGAAAUCAACCGAGAUUCCCCCAGUAGCGGCGAGCGAACGGGGAGCAGCCCAGAGCCUGAAUCAGUGUGUGUGUAGUGGAAGCGUCUGGAAAGGCGCGCGAUACAGGGUGACAGCCCCGUACACAAAAAUGCACAUACUGUGAGCUCGAUGAGUAGGGCGGGACACGUGGUAUCCUGUCUGAAUAUGGGGGGACCAUCCUCCAAGGCUAAAUACUCCUGACUGACCGAUAGUGAACCAGUACCGUGAGGGAAAGGCGAAAAGAACCCCGGCGAGGGGAGUGAAAAAGAACCUGAAACCGUGUACGUACAAGCAGUGGGAGCACGCUUAGGCGUGUGACUGCGUACCUUUUGUAUAAUGGGUCAGCGACUUAUAUUCUGUAGCAAGGUUAACCGAAUAGGGGAGCCGAAGGGAAACCGAGUCUUAACUGGGCGUUAAGUUGCAGGGUAUAGACCCGAAACCCGGUGAUCUAGCCAUGGGCAGGUUGAAGGUUGGGUAACACUAACUGGAGGACCGAACCGACUAAUGUUGAAAAAUUAGCGGAUGACUUGUGGCUUGGGGUGAAAGGCCAAUCAAACCGGGAGAUAGCUGGUUCUCCCCGAAAGCUAUUUAGGUAGCGCCUCGUGAAUUCAUCUCCGGGGGUAGAGCACUGUUUCGGCAAGGGGGUCAUCCCGACUUACCAACCCGAUGCAAACUGCGAAUACCGGAGAAUGUUAUCACGGGAGACACACGGCGGGUGCUAACGUCCGUCGUGAAGAGGGAAACAACCCAGACCGCCAGCUAAGGUCCCAAAGUCAUGGUUAAGUGGGAAACGAUGUGGGAAGGCCCAGACAGCCAGGAUGUUGGCUUAGAAGCAGCCAUCAUUUAAAGAAAGCGUAAUAGCUCACUGGUCGAGUCGGCCUGCGCGGAAGAUGUAACGGGGCUAAACCAUGCACCGAAGCUGCGGCAGCGACGCUUAUGCGUUGUUGGGUAGGGGAGCGUUCUGUAAGCCUGUGAAGGUGUGCUGUGAGGCAUGCUGGAGGUAUCAGAAGUGCGAAUGCUGACAUAAGUAACGAUAAAGCGGGUGAAAAGCCCGCUCGCCGGAAGACCAAGGGUUCCUGUCCAACGUUAAUCGGGGCAGGGUGAGUCGACCCCUAAGGCGAGGCCGAAAGGCGUAGUCGAUGGGAAACAGGUUAAUAUUCCUGUACUUGGUGUUACUGCGAAGGGGGGACGGAGAAGGCUAUGUUGGCCGGGCGACGGUUGUCCCGGUUUAAGCGUGUAGGCUGGUUUUCCAGGCAAAUCCGGAAAAUCAAGGCUGAGGCGUGAUGACGAGGCACUACGGUGCUGAAGCAACAAAUGCCCUGCUUCCAGGGAAAGCCUCUAAGCAUCAGGUAACAUCAAAUCGUACCCCAAACCGACACAGGUGGUCAGGUAGAGAAUACCAAGGCGCUUGAGAGAACUCGGGUGAAGGAACUAGGCAAAAUGGUGCCGUAACUUCGGGAGAAGGCACGCUGAUAUGUAGGUGAAGUCCCUCGCGGAUGGAGCUGAAUCAGUCGAAGAUACCAGCUGGCUGCAACUGUUUAUUAAAAACACAGCACUGUGCAAACACGAAAGUGGACGUAUACGGUGUGACGCCUGCCCGGUGCCGGAAGGUUAAUUGAUGGGGUCAGCGCAAGCGAAGCUCUUGAUCGAAGCCCCGGUAAACGGCGGCCGUAACUAUAACGGUCCUAAGGUAGCGAAAUUCCUUGUCGGGUAAGUUCCGACCUGCACGAAUGGCGUAAUGAUGGCCAGGCUGUCUCCACCCGAGACUCAGUGAAAUUGAACUCGCUGUGAAGAUGCAGUGUACCCGCGGCAAGACGGAAAGACCCCGUGAACCUUUACUAUAGCUUGACACUGAACAUUGAGCCUUGAUGUGUAGGAUAGGUGGGAGGCUUUGAAGUGUGGACGCCAGUCUGCAUGGAGCCGACCUUGAAAUACCACCCUUUAAUGUUUGAUGUUCUAACGUUGACCCGUAAUCCGGGUUGCGGACAGUGUCUGGUGGGUAGUUUGACUGGGGCGGUCUCCUCCUAAAGAGUAACGGAGGAGCACGAAGGUUGGCUAAUCCUGGUCGGACAUCAGGAGGUUAGUGCAAUGGCAUAAGCCAGCUUGACUGCGAGCGUGACGGCGCGAGCAGGUGCGAAAGCAGGUCAUAGUGAUCCGGUGGUUCUGAAUGGAAGGGCCAUCGCUCAACGGAUAAAAGGUACUCCGGGGAUAACAGGCUGAUACCGCCAAGAGUUCAUAUCGACGGCGGUGUUUGGCACCUCGAUGUCGGCUCAUCACAUCCUGGGGCUGAAGUAGGUCCCAAGGGUAUGGCUGUUCGCCAUUUAAAGUGGUACGCGAGCUGGGUUUAGAACGUCGUGAGACAGUUCGGUCCCUAUCUGCCGUGGGCGCUGGAGAACUGAGGGGGGCUGCUCCUAGUACGAGAGGACCGGAGUGGACGCAUCACUGGUGUUCGGGUUGUCAUGCCAAUGGCACUGCCCGGUAGCUAAAUGCGGAAGAGAUAAGUGCUGAAAGCAUCUAAGCACGAAACUUGCCCCGAGAUGAGUUCUCCCUGACCCUUUAAGGGUCCUGAAGGAACGUUGAAGACGACGACGUUGAUAGGCCGGGUGUGUAAGCGCAGCGAUGCGUUGAGCUAACCGGUACUAAUGAACCGUGAGGCUUAACCUU
Molecule: ribosomal RNA, 2899 nt
Filed under: Escherichia coli EPECa12
Lineage: Bacteria; Pseudomonadati; Pseudomonadota; Gammaproteobacteria; Enterobacterales; Enterobacteriaceae
Description: bacterial LSU rRNA
Rfam family: Bacterial large subunit ribosomal RNA
Source: RNAcentral